Non-coding RNA from Podarcis lilfordi (Lilford's wall lizard), 80 nucleotides. The record is from the annotation of a GenBank genome assembly. NCBI's taxonomy places the organism in Eukaryota, Metazoa, Chordata, Lepidosauria, Squamata, Lacertidae.
GGGGAAGGGCUGUAGCUCAGUGGUAGAGUGUCUGCUUUGCAUGAAGGACCCCACCCCAAGAUCAAUCCCUGGCUUCUCCA